GUCGGAUCCAAUCGCUGUCAGACAGAUCCGCUGCAGCGCGCCGGCUGGCCGCCUUCCGCAGCCUCGCCGCAUCCUGCAUCGACCGGAGAAACCCCUUCGUGCUCCCAUCUUCCUCCCCCUACACCAGCGUUGGUGUUUUGGUGCCUCCCCCGUGCAACUCCGUUGUUGCCACAAUGAAGUUCAGCUGGCUCACUGUUGUAGCACGUCACCAGCGGUGCACACUCUGCACGCAUGUUGUCCACUUGGCGAUUGUGCAUUUCGGUGUUUACAUGCAGGUCAACGCGAGAGACGUGCAGUUCAAUUCACGGCUAUGUUUUAUUUUUUGAAAUUUUUGUGUCACUGUAAUCAUGGAUUACUCGCAGGUCAUAAGUUUGGUGCGGCGAGCUCUUAUAGUUCGGGGCGGCACUGGCCGAUGGAGCGCCACCACACCUGCGCCACCCCUUCAACCUCCUCCAGGGCCGCCUGGCCCUGAUCCGCCUAGUUGCCUCUGUCCUACCUCAAUCUAGAUCAGGAUCUAGUGCCUCGGUAGCUGCCGGCCGAGCUUCUUCUUCCUCGCCGGUGAGCUCCUUCUCCCUCUCCCAGCAGAUAGGGGAGUCGCUGAUCAACACACUUCCUGGUGGUGUCCUAUGGCAAGCGCGCUUGUAGUGCAGUCUGGUGGCGAGCACACUUGCAGUGCAGUCCGGCAAAAAUUUAUGUGGUUCGCUCCGUAAAAAUGAAUGUGUAUGAAGAAACACUUAUGCAGUCCUUUCUCGUGAGCGGGGAAGCCGAUGCCAUGACCAUGCAGUCCCAACGCGAUGUGUAAUGUGUAGCAUGCAAACAAAAAAUGUAGUCUGCUCGCCUCGUCCCCGCAGUGCAUAUUUCAUUUUUAAACCAAAAAUAUAUAUAUGCAGUGCACUACGGGAAAAUCAAAACUCUGUAGAGAAAAAGAAAUAGAAAAAUGCAGUGCACUCCGGUCUUUAAAAAAGUCCGCUCCGAAGGACUUUGUAGUACACUUCAUUAAAAAAUGUAUUUGCAAAUGUUU
RNAcentral lists this long non-coding RNA (1021 nucleotides) under Triticum aestivum (bread wheat). Its description in RNAcentral is "long non-coding RNA (TAES_LNC027307)". The record is from RNAcentral. Lineage: Eukaryota; Viridiplantae; Streptophyta; Magnoliopsida; Poales; Poaceae.